AACGAACGCUGGCGGCAUGCCUAACACAUGCAAGUCGAACGAGACCUUCGGGUCUAGUGGCGCACGGGUGCGUAACGCGGGGGAACCUGCCCUUAGGCUCGGAAUAACUCCCCGAAAGGGGUGCUAAUACCGGAUAAUGUCUUCGGACCAAAGAUUUAUCGCCUUUGGAUGGGCCCGCGUUGGAUUAGCUGGUUGGUAGGGUAAAAGCCUACCAAGGCGACGAUCCAUAGCUGGUCUGAGAGGAAGAUCAGCCACACUGGGACUGAGACACGGCCCAGACUCCUACGGGAGGCAGCAGUGGGGGAUAUUGGACAAUCGGCGGAAGCCUGAACCAGCAAUGCCGCGUGAGUGAUGUAGGCCUUAGGGUUGUAAAGCUCUUUUACCCGGGAUGAUAAUGACAGUACCGGGAGAAUAAGCUCCGGCUAACUCCGUG
RNAcentral lists this ribosomal RNA (433 nucleotides) under uncultured bacterium. Its description in RNAcentral is "partial 16S ribosomal RNA". It matches the Rfam family "Bacterial small subunit ribosomal RNA", at positions 29 to 507 of the family's 1533-position model. The record is from RNAcentral.